UACGUAGGGUGCGAGCGUUGUCCGGAAUUAUUGGGCGUAAAGGGCUCGUAGGCGGUUUGUCACGUCGGGCGUGAAAACUCAGGGCUUAACCCUGAGCCUGCUCCCGAUACGGGCAGACUAGAGGUAUGCAGGGGAGAACGGAAUUCCUGGUGUAGCGGUGAAAUGCGCAGAUAUCAGGAGGAACACCGGUGGCGAAGGCGGUUCUCUGGGCAUUACCUGACGCUGAGGAGCGAAAGUGUGGGGAGCGAACAGG
Molecule: ribosomal RNA, 253 nt
Filed under: uncultured bacterium
Lineage: Bacteria
Description: partial 16S ribosomal RNA
Rfam family: Bacterial small subunit ribosomal RNA
Source: RNAcentral